GGGGAUUUAGCUCAGUGGUAGAGUGCUUGCUUGCCUAGCAAGCACAAGGUCCUGGGUUCGAUCCCCAGCUCCG
This 73-nucleotide transfer RNA is filed under the name Rattus norvegicus (Norway rat). It matches the Rfam family "tRNA". From Rfam's summary of the family: Transfer RNA (tRNA) molecules are approximately 80 nucleotides in length. Lineage: Eukaryota; Metazoa; Chordata; Mammalia; Rodentia; Muridae. The record is from Rfam by way of RNAcentral.